UCCGUAGGUGAACCUGCGGAGGGAUCAUUACCGAGUUUACAACUCCCAAACCCAAUGUGAACGUUACCAAACUGUUGCCUCGGCGGGGUCACGCCCCGGGUGCGUCGCAGCCCCGGAACCAGGCGCCCGCCGGAGGAACCAACCAAACUCUUUCUGUAGUCCCCUCGCGGACGUAUUUCUUACAGCUCUGAGCAAAAAUUCAAAAUGAAUCAAAACUUUCAACAACGGAUCUCUUGGUUCUGGCAUCGAUGAAGAACGCAGCGAAAUGCGAUAAGUAAUGUGAAUUGCAGAAUUCAGUGAAUCAUCGAAUCUUUGAACGCACAUUGCGCCCGCCAGUAUUCUGGCGGGCAUGCCUGUCCGAGCGUCAUUUCAACCCUCGAACCCCUCCGGGGGAUCGGCGUUGGGGAUCGGGACCCCUCACACGGGUGCCGGCCCCGAAAUACAGUGGCGGUCUCGCCGCAGCCUCUCCUGCGCAGUAGUUUGCACAACUCGCACCGGGAGCGCGGCGCGUCCACGUCCGUAAAACACCCAACUUUCUGAAAUGUUGACCUCGGAUCAGGUAGGAAUACCCGCUGAACUUAAGCAUAUCAAUAAGCGGAGGA
Molecule: ribosomal RNA, 602 nt
Filed under: Trichoderma asperellum
Lineage: Eukaryota; Fungi; Ascomycota; Sordariomycetes; Hypocreales; Hypocreaceae
Description: eukaryotic LSU rRNA
Rfam family: 5.8S ribosomal RNA (bases 214-367)
Source: RNAcentral